Molecule: long non-coding RNA, 376 nt
Filed under: Gallus gallus (chicken)
Lineage: Eukaryota; Metazoa; Chordata; Aves; Galliformes; Phasianidae
Description: lncRNA (ENSGALG00010011232.1)
Source: RNAcentral
GUUAAGAUAUGUGUGUUUCCUAUAUCUUUUCUUGAACUGUGUGGAAAUGAGGGUCAGUUAAGAGGGUAAAAUGUCACUUGCAUGACUUGAUUAAACAUCAAUGUUCCUCCUGUAGAUUAAAGAUAGAAACCUUUUUUUCUUUAAGUUUCUGGACUUUUGGAGUGUGGUGUCUGUGAAGGUGAAGGUGGUCAAGUUUUUUAUGUCAUAGGGAAAUUGUAUUGCCAGGAAAAGAUCCUUAAAUGGAAGAUGCAAAGGCAGUGUUUUGAAAUGUGCUGCUGAAAUAUUGUAUACCGGUUGGGGGAAAAUGGAAGAAUAUGUGCAAGAAAACGGUUUCAGUAACAAUCCUGCAUGCUGAAGACCUACAUGGAUUCAUGGG